This 22-nucleotide microRNA is filed under the name Mus musculus (house mouse). Its description in RNAcentral is "mmu-miR-883b-5p". Its record names the gene mmu-miR-883b-5p. The record is from miRBase by way of RNAcentral. Lineage: Eukaryota; Metazoa; Chordata; Mammalia; Rodentia; Muridae.
UACUGAGAAUGGGUAGCAGUCA